UUCUUAGUUUCGAAAAGAAGAAAAAUAAGAAAGUGAAGAGUGAGGGCAACAUGUGACGAUCAUGAGUAAAGGGAGGUUAGAAAAUGUGUUUUACUUUAAUAUGUUAGCAGUUUCUUUAAGUGUUGGGUGGUUGAGAAUCUCUUGAUUUCUUUUGUUUUAUAGUAAAGUUUGGUUUUAGUCUGGUAGAUUUAUUUUCACUACGCC
Molecule: long non-coding RNA, 204 nt
Filed under: Olea europaea (common olive)
Lineage: Eukaryota; Viridiplantae; Streptophyta; Magnoliopsida; Lamiales; Oleaceae
Description: long non-coding RNA (OEUR_LNC006901)
Source: RNAcentral